GAGUAAUGUCUGGGAAACUGCCUGAUGGAGGGGGAUAACUACUGGAAACGGUGGCUAAUACCGCAUAACGUCGCAAGACCAAAGAGGGGGACCUUCGGGCCUCUUGCCAUCAGAUGUGCCCAGAUGGGAUUAGCUUGUUGGUGAGGUAACGGCUCACCAAGGCGACGAUCCCUAGCUGGUCUGAGAGGAUGACCAGCCACACUGGAACUGAGACACGGUCCAGACUCCUACGGGAGGCAGCAGUGGGGAAUAUUGCACAAUGGGCGCAAGCCUGAUGCAGCCAUGCCGCGUGUAUGAAGAAGGCCUUCGGGUUGUAAAGUACUUUCAGCGGGGAGGAAGGUGUUGUGGUUAAUAACCGCAGCAAUUGACGUUACCCGCAGAAGAAGCACCGGCUAACUCCGUGCCAGCAGCCGCGGUAAUACGGAGGGUGCAAGCGUUAAUCGGAAUUACUGGGCGUAAAGCGCACGCAGGCGGUCUGUCAAGUCGGAUGUGAAAUCCCCGGGCUCAACCUGGGAACUGCAUUCGAAACUGGCAGGCUUGAGUCUUGUAGAGGGGGGUAGAAUUCCAGGUGUAGCGGUGAAAUGCGUAGAGAUCUGGAGGAAUACCGGUGGCGAAGGCGGCCCCCUGGACAAAGACUGACGC
Molecule: ribosomal RNA, 642 nt
Filed under: Salmonella enterica subsp. enterica serovar Dublin
Lineage: Bacteria; Pseudomonadati; Pseudomonadota; Gammaproteobacteria; Enterobacterales; Enterobacteriaceae
Description: bacterial SSU rRNA
Rfam family: Bacterial small subunit ribosomal RNA
Source: RNAcentral